Molecule: non-coding RNA, 97 nt
Organism: Mycena polygramma
Lineage: Eukaryota; Fungi; Basidiomycota; Agaricomycetes; Agaricales; Mycenaceae
Source: the annotation of a GenBank genome assembly
GGCUGAGUGGUGUAGUAGUAACACCGUUGCUCUGAAUUGUGGUACAUUACACAAUAUGAUUCGGCAAAUGACGUGGGUUCGACUCCCACCUCAGCCA